This 290-nucleotide ribosomal RNA is filed under the name uncultured Bacteroides sp. RNAcentral's name for it is "partial 16S ribosomal RNA". It matches the Rfam family "Bacterial small subunit ribosomal RNA", at positions 56 to 339 of the family's 1533-position model. The record is from RNAcentral. Lineage: Bacteria; Pseudomonadati; Bacteroidota; Bacteroidia; Bacteroidales; Bacteroidaceae.
UGCAAGUCGAGGGGCAUCAGGAAGAAAGCUUGCUUUCUUUGCUGGCGACCGGCGCACGGGUGAGUAACACGUAUCCAACCUGCCCUUUACUCGGGGAUAGCCUUUCGAAAGAAAGAUUAAUACCCGAUAGCAUAAUGAUUCCGCAUGGUUUCACUAUUAAAGAAUUUCGGUUAUCGAUGGGGAUGCGUUCCAUUAGAUAGUUGGCGGGGUAACGGCCCACCUAGUCUUCGAUGGAUAGGGGUUCUGAGAGGAAGGUCCCCACAUUGGAACUGAGACACGGUCCAAACUCC